UAACGUGUGGGCGACCUGCCCUAUACUGGGGAAUAAUCACUGGAAACGGUGACUAAUACCGCAUGUCAUUACGGAAGGGCAUCCUUCUGUAAGAAAAGGAGUAAUUCGGUAUAGGAUGGGCCCGCAUCUGAUUAGCUAGUUGGUGAGAUAACAGCCCACCAAGGCGACAAUCAGUAGCCGACCUGAGAGGGUGAUCGGCCACAUUGGGACUGAGACACGGCCCAA
Molecule: ribosomal RNA, 225 nt
Filed under: uncultured bacterium
Lineage: Bacteria
Description: partial 16S ribosomal RNA
Rfam family: Bacterial small subunit ribosomal RNA
Source: RNAcentral